This 405-nucleotide ribosomal RNA is filed under the name uncultured bacterium. Its description in RNAcentral is "bacterial SSU rRNA". It matches the Rfam family "Bacterial small subunit ribosomal RNA", at positions 370 to 772 of the family's 1533-position model. The record is from RNAcentral.
AAUGGAGGAAACUCUGAACCAGCCAUGCCGCGUGCGGGAUGAAGGUCUUACAGAUCGUAAACCGCUUUUGAUAGGGGAUAAAAGUUUGCAUUAAGCAGAAAUUGAAGGUACCUAUCGAAUAAGCACCGGCUAACUCCGUGCCAGCAGCCGCGGUAAUACGGAGGGUGCAAGCGUUAUCCGGAUUUACUGGGUUUAAAGGGUGCGUAGGUGGCAUUAUAAGUCAGUGGUGAAAGGUCGUAGCUUAACUACGGAUGUGCCAAUGAUACUGUAAAGCUAGAGUUUACACGAGGUACUUGGAAUGCGUCAUGUAGCGGUGAAAUGCAUAGAGAUGACGUAGAACACCAAAAGCGAAGGCAGAGUACCAGUGUUAGACUGACACUGAGGCACGAAAGUGUGGGUAGCGAA